AGGAGCUAAUUUCAGCAAAUGGCCAAAAUGCAGCAACAACAAACACCAUGUGGCAAAAGAAAGAAACUGUGGACCUGAAAGGGACAUCAUUCCAAGAGCAGCAACAGACAUUAAGUGACCAUGUUUGGAUGAUGAACAGGACUGGAGGAGUUUCCGUAGGGUUGGGAGUGAACUGGAUUUGACCCAAAGGAGAGCUCCUGGCCCGCUUCUUCCAGGCUGAGAAGCUACUGGCUGGGUGAGAUCAGCUAUAAGAUUCAGACCUGCUCAUGGAGCGAGAUCUAAAACGGGGUUGGACAGAACUAACUGCUGGGGGCCGUGAUUUGGAUCUGAGAUUGUGACAGUACACAGGGAGAUGGGAGCGUAACUUCUGCAACUGCAGCACCUAGAGACAUUGACUUGCAACUAUAGAUCCUACAUAUGAAGACAAGCUUUGAAGUUCAACACUGGACUACAGAACACAAGGACUACCUCAUCAUUUACUGAAACUGAUUCUAAAGCUGUUACCAAUACAGUAUCCAUGGAUGUAAAACAUUCGACAAACGAUACGGCAGCACAAAACAAAAUAAAGACUGAUGAAUCAAA
Non-coding RNA from Paramormyrops kingsleyae, 582 nucleotides. The record is from RefSeq and is a predicted model, not a curated record. NCBI's taxonomy places the organism in Eukaryota, Metazoa, Chordata, Actinopteri, Osteoglossiformes, Mormyridae.